Molecule: ribosomal RNA, 465 nt
Filed under: uncultured bacterium
Lineage: Bacteria
Description: bacterial SSU rRNA
Rfam family: Bacterial small subunit ribosomal RNA
Source: RNAcentral
CCAGACUCCUACGGGAGGCAGCAGUGAGGAAUAUUGGUCAAUGAGCGGAAGCCUGAACCAGCCAAGUCGCGUGAGGGAAGAAGGCCCUGCGGGUCGCAGACCUCUUUGGACGGGGAGCAAGGCCGCCGACGUGUCGGCGGAAGGAGAGUACCCGUAGAACAAGCAUCGGCUAACUACGUGCCAGCAGCCGCGGUAAUACGUAGGUGGCAAGCGUUAUCCGGAUUUACUGGGUGUAAAGGGCGUGUAGGCGGGAUGGUAAGUCAGAUGUGAAAACUAUGGGCUCAACCCAUAGCCUGCAUUUGAAACUAUCGUUCUUGAGUGUUGGAGAGGCAGGCGGAAUUCCGUGUGUAGCGGUGAAAUGCGUAGAUAUACGGAGGAACACCAGUGGCGAAGGCGGCCUGCUGGACAAUAACUGACGCUGAGGCGCGAAAGCGUGGGGAGCAAACAGGAUUAGAUACCCUAGUA